This 491-nucleotide ribosomal RNA is filed under the name uncultured bacterium. RNAcentral describes it as "partial 16S ribosomal RNA". It matches the Rfam family "Bacterial small subunit ribosomal RNA", at positions 28 to 507 of the family's 1533-position model. The record is from RNAcentral.
GAUGAACGCUGGCUACAGGCUUAACACAUGCAAGUCGAGGGGAAACGACGGGGAAGCUUGCUUCCCCGGGCGUCGACCGGCGCACGGGUGAGUAACGCGUAUCCAACCUGCCUCUGACUGAGGGAUAACCCGUCGAAAGUCGGCCUAAUACCUCAUGGCAUCGUCUGCGGGCAUCCAACGACGAUUAAAGAUUUCAUCGGGCAGGGCUGGGGAUGCGUCUGAUUAGCUUGUUGGCGGGGUAACGGCCCACCAAGGCUACGAUCAGUAGGGGUUCUGAGAGGAAGGUCCCCCACAUUGGAACUGAGACACGGUCCAAACUCCUACGGGAGGCAGCAGUGAGGAAUAUUGGUCAAUGGGCGGGUGCCUGAACCAGCCAAGUAGCGUGCAGGAUGACGGCCCUAUGGGUUGUAAACUGCUUUUAUGCGGGGAUAAAGUGAGGGACGUGUCCUUCAUUGCAGGUACCGCAUGAAUAAGGACCGGCUAAUUCCGUG